RNAcentral lists this long non-coding RNA (342 nucleotides) under Homo sapiens (human). RNAcentral's name for it is "HSALNT0316790". The record is from RNAcentral. Lineage: Eukaryota; Metazoa; Chordata; Mammalia; Primates; Hominidae.
AGGGGCUCCAUGCCCAGACACGGGGAGGUGUGUACGAGGGAGAUGUGAGACGCCUGUGGGGACAGGCUGUGUGUGUGAGAUCCUCGCUACGCGAUGCACCCGGCCCGGGCCACUAGGAGGUUCGGGUGGGCGUGGGCCAGGUGUGCGCAGCCCUCCGUGGAGCGUGUGGACGCGUGUGUCAGUUCUCGGUGGCCAGUGUCACUCGGGGGGAAGUGCAUAUGUAGGCUGGCGUGCAUGUGAGUACAAAGCGGCCGAGGAGUGUGUGUUCACCACGGCCCUCCGUCGGGGUCUUUCUCCGAGGAAGGAGUGAGUAUGUGAGGAGGACCUCGCUGUGACCGGCGG